Molecule: ribosomal RNA, 421 nt
Filed under: Bacteroidota bacterium
Lineage: Bacteria; Pseudomonadati; Bacteroidota
Description: Bacteroidetes bacterium partial 16S ribosomal RNA
Rfam family: Bacterial small subunit ribosomal RNA
Source: RNAcentral
UGGGGAAUUUUGCACAAUGGGCGCAAGCCUGAUGCAGCGACGCCGCGUGAGGGAUGAAGGCCUUCGGGUUGUAACCUUUUUCGCUCAUGGUCAAGCCGCAGCUUUGGGUUGUGGUGAGGGUAGUGGGUAAAGAAGCGCCGGCUAACUACGUGCCAGCAGCCGCGGUAAUACGUAGGGCGCGAGCGUUGUCCGGAAUUAUUGGGCGUAAAGGGCUUGUAGGCGGUUGGCCGCGUCUGCCGUGAAAUCCUCUGGCUUAACUGGGGGCGUGCGGUGGGUACGGGUUGACUUGAGUGCGGUAGGGGAGACUGGAAUUCCUGGUGUAGCGGUGGAAUGCGCAGAUAUCAGGAGGAACACCGGUGGCGAAGGCGGGUCUCUGGGCCGUUACUGACGCUGAGGAGCGAAAGCGUGGGGAGCGAACAGG